UACGGGGGGGGCAAGCGUUGUUCGGAAUUACUGGGCGUAAAGGGCGCGUAGGCGGCUCGCUAAGUUGGAUGUGAAACUUCUGGGCUCAACCCAGAACCUGCAUUCAAAACUGACGAGCUAGAGUACUGGAGGGGAAAGCGGAAUUCCUGGUGUAGCGGUGAAAUGCGUAGAUAUCAGGAGGAACACCGGUGGCGAAGGCGGCUUUCUGGACAGUAACUGACGCUGAGGCGCGAAAGCUAGGGGAGCAAACAGGAUUAGAUACCCUGGUAGUCCUAGCCCUAAACGAUGGAUACUUGCUGUGAGGGGGAUUGAAUCCCUUCGUGGCGAAGCUAACGCAUUAAGUAUCCCGCCUGGGGAGUACGGUCGCAAGGCUGAA
This 376-nucleotide ribosomal RNA is filed under the name uncultured bacterium. RNAcentral's name for it is "bacterial SSU rRNA". It matches the Rfam family "Bacterial small subunit ribosomal RNA", at positions 524 to 898 of the family's 1533-position model. The record is from RNAcentral.